This 782-nucleotide unclassified non-coding RNA is filed under the name uncultured Bradyrhizobium sp. RNAcentral describes it as "partial 16S-23S ribosomal RNA intergenic spacer". The stretch from base 669 to 782 matches the Rfam family "Bacterial large subunit ribosomal RNA", at positions 1 to 113 of the family's 2925-position model. Lineage: Bacteria; Pseudomonadati; Pseudomonadota; Alphaproteobacteria; Hyphomicrobiales; Nitrobacteraceae. The record is from RNAcentral.
UUGGCGGGAUUUCGCCGUCUACGUUUCUCUUUCUUCGCGGACGAACACGCGCUGGGCCUGCAACGGCAGGUCCGGGGUCCUUGACGGGAUAUGCGUUAGGGGCUUGUAGCUCAGUUGGUUAGAGCGCGCGCUUGAUAAGCGUGAGGUCGGAAGUUCAAGUCUUCCCAGGCCCACCACUUUCAUCGAGUGAGCAUUCGUCUUCUGGUUACGGGGCCAUAGCUCAGCUGGGAGAGCGCGUGCUUUGCAAGCAUGAGGUCGUCGGUUCGAUCCCGUCUGGCUCCACCAGAUGGUUUGAUCAACGAGAUCUUGUGCCGUCGUCCGCGAAACAUCACUUCGCAUUCACUAGUCUGGAUAGACAGUGAACUGCGUGUUUUCUGACAUCGUAAAGAGGAGAUCGAUCCGAGUUGGGUCGUGCAGCAUAUCGUUGCGCGAGCCUUCAUUAUCUCCGGAUCAUUUUCGGCGCUCGACGCUGACCGCAAGGUUGGCUGCGAGUUGUAAAAUGAUCCUUUUAGCGAAGCUUGACCGCCUCGCUAUCGGAACGAUCUUACGAAGCAAGCUGGUCUUUCUAGUCAAUGUCCGGCUGUACGUAGCAUUCAUCGAGGGUGCGCGCCGCAAGGCAAUCGUACAGACAACAUUCUGCCGAGUGUGUGGACAUUGAUAAUGAGAGCAAUCAAGUGCCUUAAGGGUGUUCGGUGGAUGCCUUGGCGCUGAGAGGCGAUGAAGGACGUGCUACGCUGCGAUAAGCCGUGGGGAGCUGCGAAGAAGCUUUGAUCCGCGGAUUU